GCUUUCCUUUUCUGGUAAAGGCCAAAUGUACUAUUCUCUAUGCUUUAUAUUUUUGUAGUUCCUUUGUUUCCAUGCUUGUUUUUUGAUGGGGUGUAAAUAUAUGCUUUUUUGUUCCUUGUCUGGAUUCAGGUAGGGCCUAACAUUAUUGUUCCUUUGUGCAUGGAAAUGUUGGUGGUUUUGUUCCUUUGUGUAUGGAAGGGGGCCUUGAUUAGAAUUUCUAACGUUUGAGUUGUAAUUAGUGUUUUUGUUACACAUGAAAACAUAUGGUUGUUUGUCCAAUCACAUAUGAAAAAGAGAGGAUUGUUUGUCCAACAAUUUUCUUUCUCUGUGAUAGUUUUACUACAAAUAAAGCAUAGUCACUAUUACAUCCUAUUUUAUAUCUUGUUGUGUCGUGAUGUCUGUAUAGACUCUGUCUACGUCCUUUUGACAUUCCAAGUUUUGUUUUUCUAUGGCUCAAUUAGUUACCCCGUAUCAAGAGAAAUUUAACUGGUAUUUGCGGUAGAGUUAGCUGAAUUCAUGAAGCAAUGAUUUAGUUAUUAUUAAAGCUGAAACACAACAUGUUUUGACAAAUGCGUUCUAAGUAAAGCCUCCAACUAACAUAACCAAAAACAUAUUCUUUAGGUUUAUCAUCUAUUGAAGUAUUAUGUAGAAUUUAAAAUCAUACGAGGCAAAGCAAAUGAGCUCUAUGCACUUUCCAUGUAGCACAGAACAAAAAUAAUCAUGUAUAUUUUGGAUGCACCUAGAUAUACUCAUCAGCAAGGCUGAGGUUAUAGGGCACUCACCCACAUUGUCGAUAUCUCCGUCACUAUGAUCACCCACAUGAUGGACAAUUCCCUUCUUUCUUUUCUCUGUGGCUAUUGACACUUAAUGCUAUUACUGUGUGCAUAUAUGUACUGUGAUCCAUUCUCAUUCUUCAUAUCUUGAGAAACUAUCUCAAGAUACUCGCGUUUGUGUUUUGGAGAAAGCCUAUUCUAUGAUUAAUAUAUCGAGUAUGGAUGGCGCGAUAUCACCUCUCUUUAUGAUGAUGUUCUUACAGAAUAUAGGUUUUAUGGUAACACGUCUUAGCCAACACCUAUACUGAUGCUCAGACCAGAUGAUUAUAGUCUCUCCUUGCUAUUUUUCUUGAGAUCUGAGGAAGGAGGGGAGGAAUAAUCUCGCGGGAGAGUUCGGUGCAGAGGAAGAAGAACAAGAUAUUAUUUAUUUCUUGUGAACAGUCAAGCUUGUGCAUUGUCCCACUUUCUGGGGCCAGGCAACCUUGAAUCCAACGUCCACCUGCAGGCUACAUCUCAGAAAACUCAUGAACAUCAUGGCGCCUUGUUGAUGGGGUGAUCAAUAGCUACUAUAUUGGGACCCUGCACUUAAAUUGUAGGUCUGAUUUUGUUUUGGAGUUCUCCUGCUACCCACAAGCUCAGAUAGUUCUUUUGUUUGUGCAGGGCAAAUUGCAAAGCAUAUUAUGAAUUGUUACAAGAAACUAUUUCCGCUGUUUUGGUGCAACGAUGUUGCUUUUUAGUAUGCUUCCCGUAUCUUGGUAUCUUGGAAUAAUAAACAGAUAGAUGUCGUGUACCAAGAUUGUUCCUUGUUGUUAAGAGGGAUACAAAUAUUAUACAAGAAUUUUUCUGAUGACUCCUAAAGCAUAUUUGGAUA
Molecule: non-coding RNA, 1644 nt
Organism: Triticum urartu
Lineage: Eukaryota; Viridiplantae; Streptophyta; Magnoliopsida; Poales; Poaceae
Source: RefSeq, a predicted model, not a curated record